This 147-nucleotide unclassified non-coding RNA is filed under the name Pseudocercospora griseola f. mesoamericana. RNAcentral's name for it is "internal trabscribed spacer 2". The record is from RNAcentral. Lineage: Eukaryota; Fungi; Ascomycota; Dothideomycetes; Mycosphaerellales; Mycosphaerellaceae.
CACCACUCAAGCCUAGCUUGGUCUUGGGCGUCGCGGGCUCCCCGCGCGCCUUAAAGUCUCCGGCUGAGCUGUCCGACUCUAAGCGCUGUGGCACUUAACUAUUCGCUUCCGAGUACGGGCGGCCGCGGCCGUUAAAUCUUCAUUCAA